GUGGGGAAUUUUGGACAAUGGGCGCAAGCCUGAUCCAGCAAUGCCGCGUGCAGGAAGAAGGCCUUCGGGUUGUAAACUGCUUUUGUACGGAACGAAACGGUCCGGGUUAAUACCCUGGGCUAAUGACGGUACCGUAAGAAUAAGCACCGGCUAACUACGUGCCAGCAGCCGCGGUAAUACGUAGGGUGCAAGCGUUAAUCGGAAUUACUGGGCGUAAAGCGUGCGCAGGCGGUUUUGUAAGACAGGCGUGAAAUCCCCGGGCUCAACCUGGGAAUUGCGGUUGUGACUGGAAGGCUGGAGUGCGGCAGAGGGGGAUGGAAUUCCGCGUGUAGCAGUGAAAUGCGUAGAUAUGCGGAGGAACACCGAUGGCGAAGGCAAUCCCCUGGGCCUGCACUGACGCUCAUGCACGAAAGCGUGGGGAGCAAACAGGAUUAGAUACCCGGGUAGUCC
This 450-nucleotide ribosomal RNA is filed under the name uncultured bacterium. RNAcentral's name for it is "partial 16S ribosomal RNA". It matches the Rfam family "Bacterial small subunit ribosomal RNA", at positions 354 to 796 of the family's 1533-position model. The record is from RNAcentral.